ACCAGACUCCUACGGGAGGCAGCAGUGAGGAAUAUUGGUCAAUGGGCGCGAGCCUGAACCAGCCAAGUAGCGUGAAGGAUGACUGCCCUACGGGUUGUAAACUUCUUUUAUAAAGGAAUAAAGUGAGGCACGUGUGCCUUUUUGUAUGUACUUUAUGAAUAAGGAUCGGCUAACUCCGUGCCAGCAGCCGCGGUAAUACGGAGGAUGCGAGCGUUAUCCGGAUUUAUUGGGUUUAAAGGGUGCGCAGGCGGCACGGCAAGCCGGCGGUCAAAUCGCGGGGCUCAACCCCGCCCAGCCGUCGGAACUGCCGGGCUAGAGUGGGCGAGAAGUGCGCGGAAUGCGUGGUGUAGCGGUGAAAUGCAUAGAUAUCACGCAGAACCCCGAUUGCGAAGGCAGCCUUCCGGCGCCCUACUGACGCUGAGGCACGAAGGUGCGGGGAUCGAACAGGAUUAGAUACCCGUGUAUAA
RNAcentral lists this ribosomal RNA (467 nucleotides) under uncultured bacterium. RNAcentral's name for it is "bacterial SSU rRNA". It matches the Rfam family "Bacterial small subunit ribosomal RNA", at positions 330 to 794 of the family's 1533-position model. The record is from RNAcentral.